GUGGCUAUCAAAUGGCCAAGCUGAAGUCUGUUACGCGCGGAUCUUUGGCAGGAACGCAGCCAACGACCGAGGGGCUCUGCCGCAUGACGCGUACAACUGAAGCAGUCGCGUAGAUGAAUGAAUGAUAAAUGUUAGACUAAUAUUCUAAGAAAAUACGACUAAAUACAACGAGAAAGGGUAUUCGUGCGUCGUGUCAAUCGCAAUUGUCUCGUUUGUCCAAGGGAACAUUGACCAAACGGUACCAGACUUCGGGAACUGAAAGCAUCCCCCAGAGAAUGGAGAUUGGGAAAUCUCCCUAUCAGAGGCGUAAUAGAUGGAAGGGUUUAGUUAAAGGAAAUAUAGAGCCUCUGAUUGGGAUAGAACUACAAACAGCUACAAGUAAAGACGCGCAGAUAAUGGGCAAAAUUACAAAAUUAUCACUGCGAAGACGAACCUAAAGCACUAUUUUAUUGUAACUGAUACCAUGGACGACAUCAUAAUAGAAGUUUAUUUUAUCACCCGUUACGGUUUUAUACUGGACUUGAAGGAUAGAGUCCUUAGUCCCUUAUAUUUGAAAACGGCAAAGGAAAACAUCGACGCUGCAGUUCAGACCAAAACUAUACCCAAGUCCCGGGCUGUUCAGCUGCCUCGGGAUUUCAGGAAGAAAGAUGCCCGCCUAGUCUAAAAGGCAGAGGAAUCGUCUUCCACGUACACGGUCAGUGGAACGAACAACGCACAGUGGAACAUUCGGCCGUUUAAGCUUGCUAAAUUAAUGACUUCUGCACUAAUUAAGAUUUCGUCAUGUUCUUCAAAUAAAAGAAAAAUCCUUCAAAAUUAAGCCUACCCAAGAACACGAUUUUACGAUGUCUAAAUACUUCACAAAAUUGUGUUAAUGUUAAACUUGAUUCCGGUGGAUUUUUUUUAUUUUUUUGGAUCAAUAAAGAACGUUUAAUAGUCAAU
Molecule: long non-coding RNA, 939 nt
Organism: Drosophila miranda
Lineage: Eukaryota; Metazoa; Arthropoda; Insecta; Diptera; Drosophilidae
Exons: 3
Source: RefSeq, a predicted model, not a curated record